GAUGAAGAACGUAGCGAAAUGCGAUAAGUAGUGUGAAUUGCAGAAUUCAGUGAAUCAUCGAAUCUUUGAACGCACAUUGCGCCCUUUGGUAUUCCUUAGGGCAUGCCUGUUCGAGCGUCAUUUAAACCUUCAAGCUAAGCUUGGUGUUGGGUGACUGUCCGCUUCACGGCGGACUCGCCUCAAAAUUAUUGGCGGCCGGUACAUUGGCUUCGAGCGCAGCAGAAACGCGAACUCGGGCCCGUCGUAUUGGCUCCCAGAAGCUAUCUUCACAAUUUUGACCUCGGAUCAGGUAGGGAUACCCGCUGAACUUAAGCAUAUCAAAAGCGGAGGA
This 331-nucleotide unclassified non-coding RNA is filed under the name soil metagenome. RNAcentral's name for it is "partial contains 5.8S ribosomal RNA, internal transcribed spacer 2, and large subunit ribosomal RNA". The stretch from base 1 to 120 matches the Rfam family "5.8S ribosomal RNA", at positions 35 to 154 of the family's 154-position model. The record is from RNAcentral.